Molecule: ribosomal RNA, 676 nt
Filed under: Cautleya spicata
Lineage: Eukaryota; Viridiplantae; Streptophyta; Magnoliopsida; Zingiberales; Zingiberaceae
Description: eukaryotic LSU rRNA
Rfam family: 5.8S ribosomal RNA (bases 238-393)
Source: RNAcentral
AGUAAAAAGUCGUAACAAGGUUUCCGUAGGUGAACCUGCGGAAGGAUCAUUGUUGAGAGAGCAUAGAAUGAUGGAUGGUUGUGAAUGUGUGAAUGUGCCCCUUUCCUUUCCCCAUGUUGGUGGGCGAUUGACCGUAGCUCAGUGCGAUCGGCACUAAGGAACAAUGAACUCGGAAGCAGAUGGCCCCUUGGCGUGCGCGGGGGAGCCUAAUGCGUCGGAGAUUUUUCGAAAUCAAAUGACUCUCGGCAAUGGAUAUCUCGGCUCUUGCAUCGAUGAAGAACGUAGUGAAAUGCGAUACUUGGUGUGAAUUGCAGAAUCUCGUGAACCAUUGAGUCUUUGAACGCAAGUUGUGCCCGAGGCCUUGUGGCCGAGGGCACGCCUGCUUGGGCGUCAUGACAUCGUCGCUUUUGCUCCAUGCGUUAUUGGCAUCGAGCGCGGAUAUUGGCCUCGUGUGUCCUCGGGCACAGUCGGUUGAAGAGUGGGUAGUCCGCAGUCGUCGGGCACGAUGGGUGUUGGUCGCCGUGAGCGAGAACAGAACGUCGUCCCCGUCGUUUUGGGAAUGUCCUCAAGAGACCCUGUGUGAUUGUGAUGCCGUGUGAAAGUGCCGUGUCCAUCAAAUUGUGGCCCCAAGUCAGGCGAGAUCACCCGCCGAAUUUAAGCAUAUCAAUAAGCGGAG